GGUUUUUCUCCCUCUCCUGUGCCGGCCUCCUCCCCUCUAUUUCACUGUUGACACAGAGGGGAAGAGCACCCCACAGAGGGGUUUCCUUACUUCUGUUAAACCCUAACCUAAAAAAAACUCCUUACCUUGGCCGGUUGUAGUCGGCAGUGCUUCCUCCCUAGUAGUCCUUCCUUUCCCAGAGCUUCAGGGCUCCUUGGCCUUAGGCUCCAGGGCUUCGGCUCUCUCUCUCGUUCAAAGUUUAGGGAGUCUGUGACUUGGGGUUGCCGGCAGAGGCCUAAAUAAUUGUUUAGAGGAUGAAAUCCCCCUCUGAGAGGUCCCAUCCUCUCCUUUCCUCCAUACUCCGGGACUGGCCGCCGCCCCCCUGUCUCCGGCGCGCCGGCAUCGGCUGCCAGCAGGGGGUGAGGUAACCCUUCCCUGUCG
Molecule: long non-coding RNA, 420 nt
Filed under: Phoenix dactylifera (date palm)
Lineage: Eukaryota; Viridiplantae; Streptophyta; Magnoliopsida; Arecales; Arecaceae
Description: long non-coding RNA (PDAC_LNC020843)
Source: RNAcentral